AUUGAACGCUGGCGGCAUGCCUUACACAUGCAAGUCGAACGGUAACAGGUCUUUGGAUGCUGACGAGUGGCGAACGGGUGAGUAAUAUAUCGGAACGUGCCUAGUAGUGGGGGAUAGCUACUCGAAAGAGUGGCUAAUACCGCAUGAGAUCUACGGAUGAAAGCAGGGGAUCGCAAGACCUUGUGCUACUAGAGCGGCCGAUGGCAGAUUAGGUAGUUGGUGGGAUAAAAGCUUACCAAGCCGACGAUCUGUAGCUGGUCUGAGAGGACGAUCCGCCACACUGGGACUGAGACACGGCCCAGACUCCUACGGGAGGCAGCAGUGGGGAAUUUUGGACAAUGGGCGCAAGCCUGAUCCAGCAAUGCCGCGUGCAGGAUGAAGGCCUUCGGGUUGUAAACUGCUUUUGUACGGAACGAAAAGCCCCGGGUUAAUACCCUGGGGUCAUGACGGUACCGUAAGAAUAAGCACCGGCUAACUACGUGCCAGCCGCCGCCGUAA
This 498-nucleotide ribosomal RNA is filed under the name uncultured bacterium. RNAcentral's name for it is "partial 16S ribosomal RNA". It matches the Rfam family "Bacterial small subunit ribosomal RNA", at positions 30 to 523 of the family's 1533-position model. The record is from RNAcentral.